CCUCGAAUCAGGUGGGACUACCCGCUGAACUUAAGCAUAUCAAUAAGCGGAGGAAAAGAAACUAACAAGGAUUCCCCUAGUAACGGCGAGUGAAGCGGGAUGAGCUCAAAUUUAAAAUCUGAUAGUCUUUGGCUGUCCGAGUUGUAAUCUAGAGAGGUGUUUUCCGCGUUGGACCAUGUACAAGUUUCCUGGAACGGAACGUCAUAGAGGGUGAGAAUCCCGUCCUUGACAUGGACUACCAGUGCUUUGUGAUACACUCUCAACGAGUCGAGUUGUUUGGGAUUGCAGCUCAAAAUGGGAGGUAAAUUCCUUCUAAAGCUAAAUAUUGGCGAGAGACCGAUAGCGAACAAGUACCGUGAGGGAAAGAUGAAAAGCACUUUGGAAAGAGAGUUAAACAGUACGUGAAAUUGUUAAAAGGGAAACGAUUGAAGUCAGUCGCGUUUACUUGGACUCAGCCUUACCUCGGUUUGGUGCAUUUCCUUGUGAACGGGCCAGCGUCAAUGUUGUCCGUUGGAAAAGGGUUGGAGAAAUGUGGCUCUUUCGGGAGUGUUAUAGUCUCUGAUCGUAUACAACGGCUGAUGUUGAGUGGUACAGCAUGCUUCGGCGGUGCUUGUGCUGGCAUAAU
This 625-nucleotide ribosomal RNA is filed under the name uncultured Basidiomycota. RNAcentral's name for it is "LSU rRNA". It matches the Rfam family "Eukaryotic large subunit ribosomal RNA", at positions 1 to 635 of the family's 3401-position model. Lineage: Eukaryota; Fungi; Basidiomycota. The record is from RNAcentral.